Molecule: ribosomal RNA, 1397 nt
Filed under: uncultured bacterium
Lineage: Bacteria
Description: bacterial SSU rRNA
Rfam family: Bacterial small subunit ribosomal RNA
Source: RNAcentral
GAACGUACGCUGGCGGCACGCCUAACACAUGCAAGUCGAACGAAGUAGCAAUACUUAGUGGCAGACGGGUGAGUAACAUGUAGGUAUCUGCCCUUUGGCCUGGAAUAACACGAGGAAACUUGUGCUAAUACCGGAUAAGUCUUUACGGAGAAAGCUUUAUGCACCAUUGGAUGAGCCUGCACUUGAUUAGUUUGUUGGUGGGGUAAUGGCCUACCAAGACUGUGAUCAAUAGCUGAUUUGAGAGGAUGAUCAGCCACAUUGGGACUGAGACACGGCCCAAACUCCUACGGGAGGCAGCAGUGGGGAAUCUUGCACAAUGGAGGAAACUCUGAUGCAGCGAUGCCGCGUGAGUGAAGAAGGCCUUUGGGUUGUAAAGCUCUUUCGUCGGGGAAGAAAAUGACUGUACCCGAAUAAGAAGGUCCGGCUAACUUCGUGCCAGCAGCCGCGGUAAUACGAAGGGACCUAGCGUAGUUCGGAAUUACUGGGCUUAAAGAGUUCGUAGGUGGUUGAAAAAGUUGGUGGUGAAAUCCCAGAGCUUAACUCUGGAACUGCCAUCAAAACUUUUCAGCUAGAGUAUGAUAGAGGAAAGCAGAAUUUCUAGUGUAGAGGUGAAAUUCGUAGAUAUUAGAAAGAAUACCAAUUGCGAAGGCAGCUUUCUGGAUCAUUACUGACACUGAGGAACGAAAGCAUGGGUAGCGAAGAGGAUUAGAUACCCUCGUAGUCCAUGCCGUAAACGAUGUGUGUUAGACGUUGGAAAUUUAUUUUCAGUGUCGCAGCGAAAGCGAUAAACACACCGCCUGGGGAGUACGACCGCAAGGUUAAAACUCAAAUGAAUUGACGGGGACCCGCACAAGUAGUGGAGCAUGUGGUUUAAUUCGAAGAUACGCGCAGAACCUUACCAACACUUGACAUGUUCGUCGCGACUCUAAGAGAUUAGAGUUUUCGGUUCGGCCGGACGAAACACAGGUGCUGCAUGGCUGUCGUCAGCUCGUGUCGUGAGAUGUUGGGUUAAGUCCCGCAACGAGCGCAACCCUCACUUUUAGUUGCCAUCAUUAGGUUGGGCACUCUGAAAGAACUGCCAGUGAUAAGCUGGAGGAAGGUGGGGAUGACGUCAAGUCCUCAUGGCCCUUACGUGUUGGGCUACACACGUGCUACAAUGGUAUCUACAACAGGAAGCAAAACCGCGAGGUUAAGCAAAUCCUUAAAAGAUACCUCAGUUCGGAUUGCACUCUGCAACUCGAGUGCAUGAAGCUGGAAUUACUAGUAAUCGUGGAUCAGCGUGCCACGGUGAAUGCGUUCCCGGGUCUUGUACACACCGCCCGUCACACCAUGGGAGUUGGUUCUACCUUAAGGCAAGGUUUUAAACCCUUGACCACGGUAUAGUCAGCGACUGGGGU